AUUUCUCAGAAGGUUUUGAUAGGUGGGCCUUAGAGGAGACGCCGCCGAGCACCGCAAGAACUGGAAAACACACCCCUCUCUGUCUGCCUGGGAGAGCCACGGAAAUUGGCACUUCUCUGAGUGAAGCUGAGGAGAAGGCUGUAAAUCUGCCAAAACAGCCUUGAAGUAUUCUUUUGUCAUGAGGAAGUGACGGCUGCUCGAGGGAGGUGAACACCACAAGGAGAGAUGGCAUCUGGCCUGGGCCCCGCCUAGCAGCAGCUCCACCUCCUAGGCCAGGCCCUGCGGGAUGCGCCACUAGACCACCAUGGAUGGAUCCCACAGUGCAGCCCUGCAGCUGCAGCAGCUGCCUCCCACAAGUAGCUCCAGCGCCGUAAGCGAGGCCUCCUUCUCCUACAAGAGACAAGGAGACUGAGACAGAGAAAUUCAGUAAUGGCCCUGACUGGCACAACUAGUAAGUUGUGCAACCAGAAUUUAAACCCGGGUCAGACCAGCUGCAGAACCCAUGCUCCUAACUGCGGCGCUGCUCUGACUCUCCGGUGUCCUGACUCCUGCUGCUGCCACCGCAUCCCAGCAUGCCCAAGGAGGGGACUCUGCAGGUCAUUAAAGGCUUUUGUCAUUUUAAUUCCUUCUGACCAGCCAGGUGGAAUAUGUAUGGAAAUUAUGAACAUUUGUCUGGAAUUAGACUCAUUCUAGA
This 694-nucleotide small RNA is filed under the name Pan troglodytes (chimpanzee). Its description in RNAcentral is "processed transcript". The record is from RNAcentral. Lineage: Eukaryota; Metazoa; Chordata; Mammalia; Primates; Hominidae.